GAUGAGAACUUCCUUAUAAUGAGAACUUUUCUCAUUCGUCGGAUUGAAUUGAAAUCAACGGACGUGAUCUAAUCCUAACCGCCGAUUAUUCCUACCUUUCUAAUUUUUCAAAAACAAACAUCGAUACUUUCUCUCUCUUCUAAAACUUCUCCAGUCUCUUUUCAACACCCAAAAAAGAAUAUGGAUUCGUCACAAUUUGCUGCAAAUUCGAAGGACGCUUGUUUAAUCUAGUGAUUUAACUUCAAAUUUUAUUUGCGGCACUUAAUUCGUCACUCGAGUUUACGAAAUGGAGCUCAAAAUCAGUCCGCGUUCAUCCAAACGCAAGGAAAAACGAUCUCAGGAAAGAGAUUCUUGGAGCAAAGAACACCUGGAAGAGACAAUUGACCCCACGAGAAUCUUCACAGAAAAACCUAUCAGCUCCUAAAGAGAUGAUAGUGAAGGAUUCUAAUGAGAAGAUGAUGUCACAAGAAAAAUUUCAAUGUAAACUUUGUGUACCACAAGAAACUAACAGCAAGGAUUAUACUAGGGAUGUUGCAUCUCCCCAAAUUGGUCGUAAAGGUAGCACUGUAAAAGUUGAUACCGUUGCUGUUUCUGAGGCUUCCUCUUCUGCUCCAUCUUCUGGCCAUGAAAGCAGGAAUGAUAAUACAAAUGAAACCGAUGGGGACACACAGUUUGAGAAGAAGUCAAUGUUUGUCAUGCGGGGUGGUGAAAUGGUGCAGGUAAGCUACAAGGUAUAUAUCCCGAAGAAAAUUCCUGCUUUAGCCAGAAGGCAACUGAAGCGAUGAUUCAGAUAUCAAUAGCUGCUUGAAUUUUGGGUUCCUCCGGUUGAUACACAGUGGCAGGUUUAAUCUUUUGAGUUUAUUUUGAGUUUCCUGUUGCUUUCCGUUUUCUUGUUGAAUGAAGUUUACAUAGCUGUCUUAGUGUCUUACUAACACCCCCUUGGUUGCUUUUGAACUGCUGAAGUUGCAUGUUCUUGUGUUGCUGCACCUGAUGCUGUAACUUUGACUUUAUAUAUAGACGUUAGGAAAGCUCUCUGAAUUAGUAGCCUUAUGAAUCUGGCAGAAAUCUCUACUGGUGCUUUUUGGGAACAGAUGGUGGCAUUGAGUUUUACUUAAAAGUAGUCCUAUUUUCUUUCUUGUUAA
Molecule: long non-coding RNA, 1142 nt
Organism: Spinacia oleracea (spinach)
Lineage: Eukaryota; Viridiplantae; Streptophyta; Magnoliopsida; Caryophyllales; Amaranthaceae
Exons: 2
Source: RefSeq, a predicted model, not a curated record